This 79-nucleotide ribosomal RNA is filed under the name Nematostella vectensis (starlet sea anemone). The record is from RNAcentral. Lineage: Eukaryota; Metazoa; Cnidaria; Anthozoa; Actiniaria; Edwardsiidae.
UUCUACGGCCAUACCACUAAGAAGGCAACGGUUCUCGUCAGAUCACCGAAGUUAAGCUCAGUAGAACGCGCCGCAAUGA